CAAUUCUACUAGGGGUGCCCGAAACGGGGCUGAGAGAAAAACCGAUGUUUUUUAACCCUUUGGACCUGAUCUGGAUUAUACCAGCGUAGGAAAGUAGCUAAGAUAAACA
RNAcentral lists this non-coding RNA (109 nucleotides) under Priestia endophytica. RNAcentral describes it as "Bacillus endophyticus TPP sequence". It matches the Rfam family "TPP riboswitch aptamer (THI element)". Rfam says of the family: Vitamin B(1) in its active form thiamin pyrophosphate (TPP) is an essential coenzyme that is synthesised by coupling of pyrimidine and thiazole moieties in bacteria. The previously detected thiamin-regulatory element, thi box was extended, resulting in a new, highly conserved RNA secondary structure, the THI element, which is widely distributed in eubacteria and also occurs in some archaea. Analysis of operon structures identified a large number of new candidate thiamin-regulated genes, mostly transporters, in various prokaryotic organisms. Lineage: Bacteria; Bacillati; Bacillota; Bacilli; Caryophanales; Bacillaceae. The record is from Rfam by way of RNAcentral.